RNAcentral lists this ribosomal RNA (433 nucleotides) under uncultured bacterium. RNAcentral describes it as "partial 16S ribosomal RNA". It matches the Rfam family "Bacterial small subunit ribosomal RNA", at positions 29 to 507 of the family's 1533-position model. The record is from RNAcentral.
AGCGAACGCUGGCGGCAGGCUUAACACAUGCCAGUCGAGCGGGCACUUCGGUGUCAGCAGCAGACGGGUGAGUAACACGUGGGAACGUACCCUUUGGUUCGGAAUAACGCUGGGAAACUAGCGCUAAUACCGGAUACGCCCUUUUGGGGAAAGGCUUGCUGCCGAAGGAUCGGCCCGCGUCUGAUUAGCUAGUUGGUGGGGUAAUGGCCUACCAAGGCGACGAUCAGUAGCUGGUCUGAGAGGAUGAUCAGCCACACUGGGACUGAGACACGGCCCAGACUCCUACGGGAGGCAGCAGUGGGGAAUAUUGGACAAUGGGCGCAAGCCUGAUCCAGCCAUGCCGCGUGAGUGAUGAAGGCCUUAGGGUUGUAAAGCUCUUUUGUCCGGGACGAUAAUGACGGUACCGGAAGAAUAAGCCCCGGCUAACUUCGUG